This is a non-coding RNA of Brassica napus (rape), 95 nucleotides long. The record is from Rfam. NCBI's taxonomy places the organism in Eukaryota, Viridiplantae, Streptophyta, Magnoliopsida, Brassicales, Brassicaceae.
AUCAGAUCGAUGAUGUUAUUGAAAAACUGCGUUAUCUAUCUUAAGAUCUCCGUAAUAGGAGUUGCAGAUACUAAACAGAAUCGCUGAGAUCUGAU